Molecule: transfer RNA, 72 nt
Filed under: Cricetulus griseus (Chinese hamster)
Lineage: Eukaryota; Metazoa; Chordata; Mammalia; Rodentia; Cricetidae
Rfam family: tRNA
About the family: Transfer RNA (tRNA) molecules are approximately 80 nucleotides in length. Their secondary structure includes four short double-helical elements and three loops (D, anti-codon, and T loops).
Source: Rfam by way of RNAcentral
GAGGAUGUAGCUCAGAGAUGGAGUGCUUGCUUGACAUGCAUAAGACCAUAGGUUCAAUUCUUAGCAUCUUUC